This 791-nucleotide ribosomal RNA is filed under the name uncultured bacterium. Its description in RNAcentral is "bacterial SSU rRNA". It matches the Rfam family "Bacterial small subunit ribosomal RNA", at positions 8 to 796 of the family's 1533-position model. The record is from RNAcentral.
AGAGUUUGAUCAUGGCUCAGAUUGAACGCUGGCGGCAUGCCUUACACAUGCAAGUCGAACGGCAGCGCGGGGCAACCUGGCGGCGAGUGGCGAACGGGUGAGUAAUAUAUCGGAACGUACCCUGGAGUGGGGGAUAACGUAGCGAAAGUUACGCUAAUACCGCAUACGAUCUAAGGAUGAAAGUGGGGGACUCGCAAGAGCCUCAUGCUCCUGGAGCGGCCGAUAUCUGAUUAGCUAGUUGGUAGGGUAAAAGCCUACCAAGGCUUCGAUCAGUAGCUGGUCUGAGAGGACGACCAGCCACACUGGAACUGAGACACGGUCCAGACUCCUACGGGAGGCAGCAGUGGGGAAUUUUGGACAAUGGGCGCAAGCCUGAUCCAGCAAUGCCGCGUGAGUGAAGAAGGCCUUCGGGUUGUAAAGCUCUUUUGUCAGGGAAGAAACGGUGAGGGCUAAUAUCCCUUGCUAAUGACGGUACCUGAAGAAUAAGCACCGGCUAACUACGUGCCAGCAGCCGCGGUAAUACGUAGGGUGCAAGCGUUAAUCGGAAUUACUGGGCGUAAAGCGUGCGCAGGCGGUUUUGUAAGUUUGUCGUGAAAGCCCCGGGCUCAACCUGGGAAUUGCGAUGAAGACUGCAAGGCUUGAAUCUGGCAGAGGGGGGUAGAAUUCCACGUAGCAGUGAAAUGCGUAGAGAUGUGGAGGAACACCGAUGGCGAAGGCAGCCCCCUGGGUCAAGAUUGACGCUCAUGCACGAAAGCGUGGGGAGCAAACAGGAUUAGAUACCCUAGUAGUCC